Molecule: long non-coding RNA, 372 nt
Filed under: Setaria italica (foxtail millet)
Lineage: Eukaryota; Viridiplantae; Streptophyta; Magnoliopsida; Poales; Poaceae
Description: long non-coding RNA (SITA_LNC004832)
Source: RNAcentral
CCGCCUUGAUACCCAGGAGGUCCACCUUGGUAGCCAGGAGCACCACCUUGCUGGUAGGGCGGAGCACCACCAGGGGUGUAUCCCCCCUGUGGGUAGCCAGGAGCGCCACCUUGCUGGUAGUUUGGCGGAGCACCACCUGCAUGAGGUGGUGGUGGUGGCGGAGGCAUGUUGCCCUGAGCAUGGUGCGGAGGGCCUUCACGUGGUGGCAUUUGGUUCUGGCCAGGUGGUGGAGGGCUGUUGUAACCCUGCCCAGGAGGCACAUCUCUGUUCUGGAAGUUCUGCAUGUUCUCCCUUCUCCUAUCAAAGGUCCUUGACCUGUCGAAAUUGCGGGGCCUAUCAUUGCGCCGAGAUCUUUCAUUGGCACGAGCAUUG